This 492-nucleotide ribosomal RNA is filed under the name uncultured bacterium. Its description in RNAcentral is "partial 16S ribosomal RNA". It matches the Rfam family "Bacterial small subunit ribosomal RNA", at positions 29 to 507 of the family's 1533-position model. The record is from RNAcentral.
AGUGAACGCUGGCGGUAGGCCUAACACAUGCAAGUCGAACGGCAGCACAGUAAGAGCUUGCUCUUACGGGUGGCGAGUGGCGGACGGGUGAGGAAUACAUCGGACUCUACUUUUUCGUGGGGGAUAACGUAGGGAAACUUACGCUAAUACCGCAUACGACCUACGGGUGAAAGCAGGGGAUCUUCGGACCUUGCGCGAUUGAAUGAGCCGAUGUCGGAUUAGCUAGUUGGCGGGGUAAAGGCCCACCAAGGCGACGAUCCGUAGCUGGUCUGAGAGGAUGAUCAGCCACACUGGAACUGAGACACGGUCCAGACUCCUACGGGAGGCAGCAGUGUGGAAUAUUGGACAAUGGUCGCAAGCCUGAUCCAGCCAUACCGCGUGGGUGAAGAAGGCCUUCGGGUUGUAAAGCCCUUUUGUUGGGAAAGAAAAGCAGCAGGUUAAUACCCCGCUGUUCUGACGGUACCCAAAGAAUAAGCACCGGCUAACUUCGUG